AUUGAACGCUGGCGGCAGGCCUAACACAUGCAAGUCGAGCGAUCUUCUUCGGAAGAGAGCGGCGGACGGGUGAGUAACGCGUGGGUAACCUGCCCUAUACACAUGGAUAACAUACCGAAAGGUAUGCUAAUACAGGAUAAUAUGUUUUGAUCGCAUGGUCGAAAUAUCAAAGCUCCGGCGGUAUAGGAUGGACCCGCGUCUGAUUAGCUAGUUGGCAAGGUAAUGGCUUACCAAGGCGACGAUCAGUAGCCGACCUGAGAGGGUGAUCGGCCACAUUGGAACUGAGACACGGUCCAAACUCCUACGGGAGGCAGCAGUGGGGAAUAUGCACAAUGGGCGAAAGCCUGAUGCAGCAACGCCGCGUGAGCGAUGAAGGCCUU
Molecule: ribosomal RNA, 380 nt
Filed under: uncultured bacterium
Lineage: Bacteria
Description: bacterial SSU rRNA
Rfam family: Bacterial small subunit ribosomal RNA
Source: RNAcentral